GGUGCAUUAGCUAGUUGGUGAGGUAACGGCUCACCAAAGGCCACGAUGCAUAGCCGACCUGAGAGGGUGAUCGGCCACACUGGGACUGAGACACGGCCCAGACUCCUACGGGAGGCAGCAGUAGGGAAUCUUCCGCAAUGGACGAAAGUCUGACGGAGCAACGCCGCGUGAGUGAUGAAGGCUUUCGGGUCGUAAAACUCUGUUGUUAGGGAAGAACAAGUAUGAGAGUAACUGCUCGUACCUUGACGGUACCUAACCAGAAAGCCACGGCUAACUACGUGCCAGCAGCCGCGGUAAUACGUAGGUGGCAAGCGUUAUCCGGAAUUAUUGGGCGUAAAGCGCGCGCAGGCGGUUUCUUAAGUCUGAUGUG
This 370-nucleotide ribosomal RNA is filed under the name uncultured Bacillus sp. RNAcentral describes it as "bacterial SSU rRNA". It matches the Rfam family "Bacterial small subunit ribosomal RNA", at positions 235 to 596 of the family's 1533-position model. The record is from RNAcentral. Lineage: Bacteria; Bacillati; Bacillota; Bacilli; Caryophanales; Bacillaceae.